RNAcentral lists this ribosomal RNA (253 nucleotides) under uncultured bacterium. RNAcentral describes it as "partial 16S ribosomal RNA". It matches the Rfam family "Bacterial small subunit ribosomal RNA", at positions 524 to 776 of the family's 1533-position model. The record is from RNAcentral.
UACGUAGGGUGCGAGCGUUAAUCGGAAUUACUGGGCGUAAAGCGUGCGCAGGCGGUUUUUCAAGUCCGUUGUGAAAGCCCCGGGCUCAACCUGGGAAUGGCAGUGGAAACUAGGGGACUGGAAUCUGGCAGAGGGGGGUGGAAUGCCGCGUGUAGCAGUGAAAUGCGUAGAGAUGCGGCGGAACACCGAUGGCGAAGGCAGCCCCCUGGGCUGAGAUUGACGCUCAGGCACGAAAGCGUGGGGAGCAAACAGG